GAUGAACGCUGGCGGCGCGCCUAACACAUGCAAGUCGAACGAUUAAAGCACCUUCGGGUGUGUAUAAAGUGGCGAACGGCUGAGUAACACGUGGGCAACCUGCCCCUUUCAUUGGGAUAGCCACGGGAAACCGUGGAUAAUACCGAAUACUUCGAGACUUCCGCAUGGAAGACUCGAGAAAGCUCCGGCGGAGAGGGAUGGGCCCGCGGCCUGUUAGCUUGUUGGUGGGGUAACGGCCUACCAAGGCAAUGAUGGGUAGCUGGGUUGAGAGACCGACCAGCCAGCUUGGGACUGAGACACGGCCCAGACUCCUACGGGAGGCAGCAGUGGGGAAUCUUGCACAGUGGGCGAAAGCCUGAUGCAGCGACGCCGCGUGCGGGAUGAAGGCCUUCGGGUUGUAAACCGCUUUCAGCAGGGACGAGGCGAAAGUGACGGUACCUGCAGAAGAAGCCCCGGCUAACUACGUG
This 467-nucleotide ribosomal RNA is filed under the name uncultured bacterium. RNAcentral describes it as "partial 16S ribosomal RNA". It matches the Rfam family "Bacterial small subunit ribosomal RNA", at positions 28 to 507 of the family's 1533-position model. The record is from RNAcentral.